This 21-nucleotide non-coding RNA is filed under the name Caenorhabditis elegans. The record is from RNAcentral. Lineage: Eukaryota; Metazoa; Nematoda; Chromadorea; Rhabditida; Rhabditidae.
UCAUCUCGAAAAAGAUUGAGA